AGUGUUGGGGAAGGAUUCAUUUCGAUGGUAGACUGCAGCCAAGGCAGCACUGGUCCACAGCUGCCCUGUCAGUCAGAUGCAGACCCAAAGACAUUCAAGCAGCAUUUUGAGAGCAAGCAUCCCAUGUCUCCAAUGGUCCCAGUACUGGUUGAUGUUCAGGCCUAAGUAACCACACACACAAAUGCACCUACAGCUGCGACACACGAUGACCACGAUUUGAAUGCUGCCACUGAGACGGAAUGACUUCGAGAGACGCUGAGACCCCGAGUAUGACUGGACAUGCAGUGUUGUAAAGUACAUAAGUAAAAAUACUUUAAAGUACUACUUAAG
Molecule: long non-coding RNA, 330 nt
Organism: Coregonus clupeaformis (lake whitefish)
Lineage: Eukaryota; Metazoa; Chordata; Actinopteri; Salmoniformes; Salmonidae
Exons: 3
Source: RefSeq, a predicted model, not a curated record